RNAcentral lists this unclassified non-coding RNA (569 nucleotides) under Hevea brasiliensis (rubber tree). The record is from RNAcentral. Lineage: Eukaryota; Viridiplantae; Streptophyta; Magnoliopsida; Malpighiales; Euphorbiaceae.
AUCAAAUCCCAUUCAACAUUAGAUUAGUGGUCCAUAAUUCUACAAUGAUAAAAGAACGAUUCAGCUCUCAACAUAAACAUAGUAAUGCCUUCAGGCCAAGCUAAACAUAAACCACCAGCCAGACCCUGGGGCUUUACAAACAUCAUAUCAAAAGACCCACAUUUAUUUAAUCUGGAUUUUACAAAAGAGGAGCAGUUUUUAGUUUCCAUUAGAAAGAUAAUCUCUAAGGAUUGAGAUCUAUAAAUCCCUUUAAGAUACUAUAUUAUCAGGGGGUUCCCCAAACCAUGACAAUUCUAGCUUAGAACUCUCAUUUGGCUGGGUGGUCCAUUUGAGGCUGGCUACCUCCACCCCAUCAGAUUGAGAUGCAUCUUUGGUUAUCUUGAUUGCUGGAUAAUUUAUGAUGAAGAGGAUAAGCUUUAAGAGAAUGAUUCAGAAUUCUUGCAGAGUGGAACCAUGUAAUACCAGAUACGAGAUAGAUCUUCCAAAGAACAAGGCUUUUUAUGAAUAAGCCAAUUCAUUUGGGACCCUGUGGAUCCACUCUUUUUUAUGAACAGUUUUUGAAAUUGUCA